GCCGACGUGCCACGCCCGGAUCUCACAAGCUCUGCUGCGGCAACGAGUCCCUUCUAAUAAAAACUCUCCCACCACAUCAGCGCCGCGACCGCGACCCCACCUCCCGGAUCUCAUCUGCGACGACCUCCCCGCCUCUCCCUCCCGAUCCCGCCACCGCCCCCGCCGCGCGCCACCCCCGACCAAGCUCUCGUCUCCGGGGAGCGAGCCGGAGCAGGCGGCGGCGAAGAUGUACGGGUGGGAGAUGCUGUCGUUCAACAUCCACGACGGGUUCCUGGAGGCCAUCGUGCGGGGGAACCGCUCGGGCCUCCUCACCGCCGCCGACUACAACAACCUCUGCCAGUGCGAGACCCUCGACGACAUCAAGAUGCACCUCACCGCCACCGAGU
This 386-nucleotide long non-coding RNA is filed under the name Setaria viridis. RNAcentral's name for it is "long non-coding RNA (SVIR_LNC005973)". The record is from RNAcentral. Lineage: Eukaryota; Viridiplantae; Streptophyta; Magnoliopsida; Poales; Poaceae.